AUAAUGGGAUUAGAUACCCCAGUAGUCCCGGACGGGUGAGUAACGCGUGAGUAACCUGCCCCCCACUCUGGGAUAAGCCUGGGAAACUGGGUCUAAUACUGGAUAUGACAACGGAUCGCAUGGUUUGUUGUGGAAAGAAUUUUGGUGGGGGAUGGACUCGCGGACUAUCAGCUUGUUGGUGGGGUAGUGGCCUACCAAGGCUUUGACGGUUAGCCGGCCUGAGAGGGCGACCGGCCACACUGGGACUGAGACACGGCCCAGACUCCUACGGGAGGCAGCAGUGGGAAUAUUGCACAAUGGGCGAAAGCCUGAUGCAGCGACGCCGCGUGCGGGAUGACGGCCUUCGGGUUGUAAACCGCUUUCAGCAGGGACGAAGCGAAAGUGACGGUACCUGCAGAAGAAGCACCGGCUAACUACGUGCCAGCAGCCGCGGUAAUACGUAGGGUGCGAGCGUUGUCCGGAAUUAUUGGGCGUAAAGAGCUUGUAGGCGGUUUGUCGCGUCUGCUGUGAAAGCCCGGGGCUUAACUCCGGGUCUGCAGUGGGUACGGGCAGACUAGAGUGUGGUAGGGGAGACUGGAAUUCCUGGUGUAGCGGUGAAAUGCGCAGAUAUCAGGAGGAACACCGAUGGCGAAGGCAGGUCUCUGGGCCAUUACUGACGCUGAGAAGCGAAAGCAUGGGGAGCGA
This 684-nucleotide ribosomal RNA is filed under the name uncultured Actinomycetales bacterium. RNAcentral describes it as "bacterial SSU rRNA". It matches the Rfam family "Bacterial small subunit ribosomal RNA", at positions 68 to 771 of the family's 1533-position model. The record is from RNAcentral. Lineage: Bacteria; Bacillati; Actinomycetota; Actinomycetes; Actinomycetales.